AAACAUGUAUGUCUAACCGCCAGUGCCUCUGGGUGGAGUCUUUUUACAUGAAUAUGAUGCCCUUAUGUCUGCUGGCUGAAAUGUUUUAAUACAGUGCCUUGCGGGUGGUGAUAUACUACGUUGUGUUGCGAUUUUUUCAUCUAUAAGAAAGUUAAUGUAGGAAAUUAGAAAUAUAACAAUGACUAUAUAUAUUUGAUUUAAACUCUUUUUUUUUACUUCACACCAUAGACACCCAAUCUUUCUUG
This is a long non-coding RNA of Arabidopsis thaliana (thale cress), 245 nucleotides long. RefSeq annotates it as other RNA. The transcript has a single exon. Lineage: Eukaryota; Viridiplantae; Streptophyta; Magnoliopsida; Brassicales; Brassicaceae. The record is from RefSeq.